This is a non-coding RNA of Plutella xylostella (diamondback moth), 623 nucleotides long. Lineage: Eukaryota; Metazoa; Arthropoda; Insecta; Lepidoptera; Plutellidae. The record is from RefSeq and is a predicted model, not a curated record.
GAUCGGAUGAUCUGUGUUAUCGAUUUCCGAUGAUUUCUGACGUUUCCGACCAUUUCCGACGGAUACCACAGAUUCUUUUUUGUAGACAUAAAACUGAUAAAUAAAACGAAAAACGUAGAUUUUGGGAACUGGGAAAGUGGGAAUAUUUAAUACAUUUUUAAUAGGAACAAUAUACAAUUUUCGAAAACUGCUGAAAGAUGAGAGCCUACCUGACAAAUUAGAUGAGAUCACAAAGAGAGUGUGAGUGAACACUUAGCCAAGACGUGCCACAGCCACAACACUACCUACCUACCAAUAGUGAUUAAUUUAUUAUUUUAUGAACCUAAUGAACAAUCAAUCAAGGGCAAUUCUACAAAAGUAUACUUACUACUAAAGAGAAACAUUAAUGGUUAAGUAGUUGCCAAAUUCUGGAAAGGAGUCCCACUAAUGUGUUUAUGAAGUUAAUUUGUACAGAGGAAAGAAAAACAAUUAAUUAUAAUUCAAAGUUGCUUUAUAACAGUCUAUGUAACAAUAAACUGAUUGGAUUAUCAAGAGUAAUUAAAUUAUUAAUUUUAUGUAGGUGUCAAAAUGGGUUCAAUAAUAAUAAUUUGAUGAGUUAAAUAAAUCCUUAAUCAAGAAAUUAA